AUUCUCCUGCCUCAGCGUCUGCCUCAGCGUCUGCCUCAGCCUCCCGAGUAGCUGGGACUACAGGCAGCCGCCGCUACGCCCCGCUAAUUUUUUGUAAUUUUUAGUAGAGACGGGGUUUCACUGUGUUGGCCAGGAUGAUCUCAAUCUCCUGUGUCUUUAACUCUUCUUAAUUCCCCACUGAUGACGAAAAUGAUAGAAAGCAAUAAACCAGAUUUGAAAUUCAGAGUGAAACAUCUAAGAUCGUCUGCAGUGCAGUGGCACGCUCUCUGCAACCUCUGUCUCCCGGGUUCAAACCAUUCUCCUGCCUCAAUCUCCAGAGUGGCUGAUAUUACAGGAUUCCACCACCAAACCCAGGUUUAUAUGUGCAACUUGACAUUCCAAACAAAUACUUCAAGUCAAAAUAUUCCAAGCCGAAAUUCCUUCCAAACAUGCAUUUCAGCCUGGUUAUCUCUUGAAACCCUAAGGCAAAAAGUCA
RNAcentral lists this long non-coding RNA (475 nucleotides) under Homo sapiens (human). RNAcentral's name for it is "non-protein coding lnc-SLITRK1-8:2". Lineage: Eukaryota; Metazoa; Chordata; Mammalia; Primates; Hominidae. The record is from RNAcentral.